UUAAAUGUGUUUGUUGGGGGAGUGCAGCUUAUUUCAUUAAUAGAAUACCUCUCAAAGCUCUUGCCUUUAAAAGCCUCUUAAAUGUGUUUGUUGGAGAAGUGCAACUUAUUUCAUUAAUAGAAUACCUCUCAAAGCUCUUGCCUUUAAAAGCCUCUUAAAUGUGUUUGUUGGAUACUCUUCCACACAGAAGUGUUAUAAAUGUUACCAUCCUCCAUCUAGAAAAUAUUUUGUCAGUAUGGAAUUUCGUUUAGAGAGACUAAACCUUACUUCAGUCACCUCUUUAGGAGAGGACAAUGAGAGAGAAGAGAUGAUUCAUAGUUUUAUAACUCUAGAAUGUUUUACUCUAGAGCAGACUACUAUACAGGGGGAGACUAUUGGUGAUUAGGAGUCUACCAUACAGGAGGAGACUAUUGGUGAUCAAAUUGGGCACUUGGAUAAGCCAGAUUUAAGGAGAUAUUAAAAAAGAGACAAUAUAGAAGCAGAAAAAGCCAUUGUGCAGUCCACUUAGUGUCAUGAAACUUUCUCUUCUCAUUCGGUGAGUCAUCCCUAAACCAUGACUCCAUUGAUGAUUUAAAUAAACCAGUUGCUCAAAGAAAAGGAGCUAGGUCUUGUACAAAACACUCUAUUUUUAAUUUUUUCUCUUAUAAUUUUUUGUUUCCAUCCUAUAGAGCCUUUGCCUUGUGUAUUUCCUCAGUGUCUAUCUCAUAGGAUUAGAAGGAAGCUCUCAAAUAUUCUAAUUGGAAGGGAGCGGUGAUUGAAGAAAUGAAAGUCUUGGAUAAAAAUGAGACGUGAGAGUUGAUGUCGCUUCCACCCGGAAAAAAACUAGUUGGCUGCAAAUGGGUGUUCACUAUGAAACACAAAGCAGAUGGAUUAAUUGAAAAAUUCAGGGUCAGACUAGUUGCUAAGGGAUACACCCAAACCUAUGGAGUAGAUUUGUUGUCAAAAUGAACUCAAUCAGAAUAUUACUAUCUUGCACUGCCAACCUGGGACCUACAACAAUUUGAUGUGCAAAAUGCAUUUCUUCACGGAGACUUGGAGGAGGAAGUGUAUAUGGAAAUCCCUUCUGGAUUUGCUGAUGAAAAAAUAGAAGAAAAGGUGUAUAGGCUAAAGAAGGCUUGGUAUAAGUUGAAGUAGUCAUCUAGAGCUUGGUUUAAUAAAGUCAUCCAGAGCUUGGUUUGAUCGAUUCAGCAGAGCUAUGAUUUUUUUUGGCUAUCAACAGAGCUAUGCUGAUCAUCAGACAUCACAAGGGUAAAAUUACUUUUCUCAUAAUCUACGUUGAUGACAUGAUAAUGACAGGUGAUAACAUUGAAGAGAUGA
RNAcentral lists this long non-coding RNA (1317 nucleotides) under Manihot esculenta (cassava). RNAcentral describes it as "long non-coding RNA (MESC_LNC010136)". Lineage: Eukaryota; Viridiplantae; Streptophyta; Magnoliopsida; Malpighiales; Euphorbiaceae. The record is from RNAcentral.